CUCCGGUUGAUCCCGCCGGACCCGACUGCUAUCAGAGUGAGAUUAAGCCAUGCGAGUUAACGUAGCAAUACGUGGCGCACGGCUCAGUAACACGUAGUCAACAUGCCCAGAGGACGUGGAUAACCUCGGGAAACUGAGUCUAAACCGCGAUAAGUGAGGAUUUCUGGAAUGGUUCCUGACUAAAAUCUAUAUGGCCUCUGGAUUGGACUGCGGCCGAUCAGGCUGUUGGUGAGGUAAUGGCCCACCAAACCUGUAACCGGUACGGGCUCUGAGAGGAGGAGCCCGGAGAUGGGCACUGAGACAAGGGCCCAGGCCCUAUGGGGCGCAGCAGGCGCGAAACCUCUGCAAUAGGCGAAAGCUUGACAGGGUUACUCUGAGUGAUUUCCGUUAAGGAGAUCUUUUGGCACCUCUAAAAAUGGUGCAGAAUAAGGGGUGGGCAAGUCUGGUGUCAGCCGCCGCGGUAAUACCAGCACCCCGAGUGGUCGGGACGUUUAUUGGGCCUAAAGCAUCCGUAGCCGGUUCUACAAGUCUUCCGUUAAAUCCACCUGCUCAACAGAUGGGCUGCGGAGGAUACUACAGGGCUAGGAGGCGGGAGAGGCAAGCGGUACUCAGUGGGUAGGGGUAAAAUCCUCUGAUCCACUGAAGACCACCAGUGGCGAAGGCGGCUUGCCAGAACGCGCUCGACGGUGAGGGAUGAAAGCUGGGGGAGCAAACCGGAUUAGAUACCCGGGUAGUCUCAGCUGUAAACGAUGCAGACUCGGUGAUGGGUUGGCUUCGAGCCAACCCAGUGCCGCAGGGAAGCCGUUAAGUCUGCCGCCUGGGGAGUACGGUCGCAAGACUGAAACUUAAAGGAAUUGGCGGGGGAGCA
This 868-nucleotide ribosomal RNA is filed under the name uncultured archaeon. RNAcentral describes it as "bacterial SSU rRNA". It matches the Rfam family "Archaeal small subunit ribosomal RNA", at positions 1 to 878 of the family's 1478-position model. The record is from RNAcentral.